This is a small nucleolar RNA of Rhincodon typus (whale shark), 133 nucleotides long. RefSeq annotates it as U8 small nucleolar RNA. The transcript has a single exon. Lineage: Eukaryota; Metazoa; Chordata; Chondrichthyes; Orectolobiformes; Rhincodontidae. The record is from RefSeq and is a predicted model, not a curated record.
UCGUCAGUAAGGUACAUCCUUACCUGUUACUCCGUAAGGAGUUGCAGAAAAUGAUGAAUGGAGUGAAUGAGCUGGUGAUUAAUACAGGCUCCCACCCCUGAGGAACUAACAACCCCUCAGAGGCCAUUCUGAU